GGGCUAGUGGCACAAUGGAUAAAGCAUCUGACUAUGGAUCAGAGGACUCCAGGUUCAACUCCUGGCUGGCUCA
This 73-nucleotide transfer RNA is filed under the name Loxodonta africana (African savanna elephant). RNAcentral's name for it is "tRNA-His (ATG) (tRNA-His-ATG-2-1)". It matches the Rfam family "tRNA". Rfam says of the family: Transfer RNA (tRNA) molecules are approximately 80 nucleotides in length. Their secondary structure includes four short double-helical elements and three loops (D, anti-codon, and T loops). The record is from Rfam by way of RNAcentral. Lineage: Eukaryota; Metazoa; Chordata; Mammalia; Proboscidea; Elephantidae.